Molecule: ribosomal RNA, 467 nt
Filed under: uncultured Alphaproteobacteria bacterium
Lineage: Bacteria; Pseudomonadati; Pseudomonadota; Alphaproteobacteria
Description: bacterial SSU rRNA
Rfam family: Bacterial small subunit ribosomal RNA
Source: RNAcentral
CAGGCCUAACACAUGCAAGUCGAACGCUCUUGGGGCUUCGGUUUCAAGGGAGUGGCGCACGGGUGAGUAGCGCGUGGGAACCUGCCCUGUUGUGGGGGAUAACCGAGGGAAACUUCGGCUAAUACCGCAUACGCCCGGCGGACCUCGAAAGGGGGAAACCGGGGAAAGAUUUAUCGCAGCAGGAGGGGCCCGCGUCGGAUUAGCUAGUUGGUGGGGUAACGGCCUACCAAGGCUUUGAUCCGUAGCUGGUCUGAGAGGAUGAUCAGCCACACUGGGACUGAGACACGGCCCAGACUCCUACGGGAGGCAGCAGUGGGGAAUAUUGGACAAUGGGCGCAAGCCUGAUCCAGCAAUGCCGCGUGAGUGAUGAAGGCCUUCGGGUUGUAAAGCUCUUUCGCCUGCGAGGAUGAUGACGGUAGCAGGAGAAGAAGCCCCGGCUAACUUCGUGCCAGCAGCCGCGGUAAUAC